Molecule: ribosomal RNA, 497 nt
Filed under: uncultured bacterium
Lineage: Bacteria
Description: partial 16S ribosomal RNA
Rfam family: Bacterial small subunit ribosomal RNA
Source: RNAcentral
GAUGAACGCUGGCGGCGUGCCUAAUACAUGCAAGUCGAGCGAACGGACGAGAAGCUUGCUUCUCUGAUGUUAGCGGCGGACGGGUGAGUAACACGUGGAUAACCUACCUAUAAGACUGGGAUAACUUCGGGAAACCGGAGCUAAUACCGGAUAAUAUUUUGAACCGCAUGGUUCAAAAGUGAAAGACGGUCUUGCUGUCACUUAUAGAUGGAUCCGCGCUGCAUUAGCUAGUUGGUAAGGUAACGGCUUACCAAGGCAACGAUGCAUAGCCGACCUGAGAGGGUGAUCGGCCACACUGGAACUGAGACACGGUCCAGACGCCUACGGGAGGCAGCAGUAGGGAAUCUUCCGCAAUGGGCGAAAGCCUGACGGAGCAACGCCGCGUGAGUGAUGAAGGUCUUCGGAUCGUAAAACUCUGUUAUUAGGGAAGAACAUAUGUGUAAGUAACUGUGCACAGCUUGACGGUACCUAAUCAGAAAGCCACGGCUAACUACGUG